UGCGACCGUUAUUCGGAAUCACUGGGCUUAAAGCGCGUGUAGGCGGGAGGGCACGUCCGUCGCUGAAAUCCCCCGGCUCAACCGGGGAACGGGCGCGGAUACGACCUUCCUGGAGGGGCGUAGGGGGACCUGGAACUUCCGGUGGAGCGGUGAAAUGCGUUGAGAUCGGAAGGAACGCCCGUGGCGAAAGCGGUCUGCUGGGCCGUUGCUGACGCUGAGGCGCGACAGCGUGGGGAGCAAACAGG
This 245-nucleotide ribosomal RNA is filed under the name uncultured bacterium. Its description in RNAcentral is "partial 16S ribosomal RNA". It matches the Rfam family "Bacterial small subunit ribosomal RNA", at positions 533 to 776 of the family's 1533-position model. The record is from RNAcentral.